AAUAAAAAACAGAGGCGUUGGAUCUGACCUCAUUAAUUGACGUGGAAGAUUCAACAACUAUGAAGCUAGGGCGCUUGGUGGAAAAUAGCCAUAAUAAAACAUUGAAUCACAUUCAAAAUGCACCAAUCAAAAUAUUUCAAAACGCCAACGCGGAUAGAAAAUUCGGAUGACCUAAAACAACUCUGGUUAUCUUCUCUGAUGAUCCCUCACUGAAGCUUCAUUUUUUGGCAAAGUAAGAACAUGAGAC
RNAcentral lists this long non-coding RNA (247 nucleotides) under Lathyrus oleraceus (garden pea). RNAcentral describes it as "Pisum sativum (pea) long non-coding RNA (PSAT_LNC034832)". The record is from RNAcentral. Lineage: Eukaryota; Viridiplantae; Streptophyta; Magnoliopsida; Fabales; Fabaceae.